AUGGAGAGCUUGGAGCUUGGAUGAGAGCUACUUGGGCAAUUCAUAGGGCAUCUUUAAGUCUCGAGGUUGAGCAAAAGUGCAUUUGGCACGUAAAUCGAGGACGAGCACGCAUCUCGAGGAAUCUCGAAAAAUAGUCCAAGGUUCGACCAGCAGCGCAAAAGGAAAAGAAAUAGCGGAAGGGUAGAUUUAUGUUGCCGCAUGUGGCACACUUAUCAUGUCUUUUAUUAUGUAUGAUGUAUUAAAUGAUGUAAACCCUAGCAUGUUUUGAUUAUAUUUGAGGCAUUCAGUUAAUGUAUUGGGAGACAUCAUCAUGUAUUUCGUUUGGAGAAUUUUUGGAACGAUUUCAUAUAUUAAGUGAUGUAAUAUGUUUAUGCACUAUAUCAUGUUCGAUUAGUCUUCCGUAGUCGCUAUUUUAUUGCCUGUCUUAACCGUCUAUUUAUUGAAUUUGUUAAGUUGAGAAGGCAAGACUUGGAAUUUGGGAUUUUAUGGUUCUUAGAAAUUGAUUGGAUAAAAAAUAUAUAUAUAUUCCCAAAAUUCUAAGUAGAAGUAACGCUCCAAAAAGCGGGUCGUUACACCUUAUAGUGUGCUAAUAUUCUACUUAGAAUCAAAUAACAUUUCUUGGUUCGUUUUGAUACACAAAAUAGUAUAAUACUUAACAAGUAUCAAAAAUCCAUUAGGGGUUUUAAACAUACUAAAAAUAGUUUUACUAAAAUUAUGUUUU
Long non-coding RNA from Diospyros lotus (date-plum), 721 nucleotides. RefSeq lists it as uncharacterized. The record is from RefSeq and is a predicted model, not a curated record. The transcript has 3 exons. NCBI's taxonomy places the organism in Eukaryota, Viridiplantae, Streptophyta, Magnoliopsida, Ericales, Ebenaceae.